Molecule: ribosomal RNA, 1173 nt
Filed under: Psychomyia pusilla
Lineage: Eukaryota; Metazoa; Arthropoda; Insecta; Trichoptera; Psychomyiidae
Description: LSU rRNA
Rfam family: Eukaryotic large subunit ribosomal RNA
Source: RNAcentral
GCCCAGCGCUGAAUCCUGCGGCCCCGGCGGGCCGCCGGGAAAUGUAGCGUUAGGGAGGAGAGUUUUAUAUAUUCGCGCGGUCAUUAGUCACGGCGGCCAGUCCAAGUCCAUCUUGAAGGGGGCCCCGCUUAUCCAUAGAGGGUGCCAGGCCCGUGGUGACGGUCGCCGGCCGCGACGGUCUCUCUCCCCAGAGUCGGGUUGCUUGAGAGUGCAGCCCUAAGCGGGUGGUAAACUCCAUCUAAGGCUAAAUACGACCACGAGACCGAUAGCGAACAAGUACCGUGAGGGAAAGUUGAAAAGGACUUUGAAGAGAGAGUUCAAGAGUACGUGAAACCGUUCAGGGGUAAACCUGUGGAACUCUAACGAGCGAACGGGGAGAUUCAUUCAUCGCGUCUCCGCCGGGGGCCGCCGGUUAACCUCCGGCGUUUCGGGCGUCGUUUCCUUCGGGUUGCGGCGUUCGGGCGUCGCGCUGGUUGUGCCGGUCGACAGCCCCUCGGAGCGCGUGCACUUCUCCCUUAGUAUAACACCGCGACCCGUCGUCUAAAAUAAAUGCGGUCGAACGCGUCGUGUCGCAGCCCCGGCGUGCGAGCUUUCGGGCUCGCCGCGCCGGUGCGGCUGGCGUCGCGGCCGCAGGGCGACGGUAAAGAACGAGGUACGCGUCCGCCUACGCGGUGCCGCUUUCGGGCGGUACUUUGGCGUCCGGCGGCGUAGCGGCGUGACUCCCCUCGUGGACCUCGGCACUUUACGGUGUCGUGGGCUCUGCGUGYGGUCAAGGCGUUUCCCGAAAGGGGGCGCCGGGUUGCGCGUCUGCUGCGCAUUCUCGGACGGGACGCGUCCCGGUCGGCGGUGGUUUUGUUUAGGGCACUCACAGGACCCGUCUUGAAACACGGACCAAGGAGUCUAGCAUGUGCGCGAGUCAUUGGGAAUUUAUAAACCCAGAGGCGCAAUGAAAGUGAACAGUGCCGUUUUCGGACGGCCGCAGGGAAGAUGGCGAACGGCACGUCCGCUCGUCCGCAUUCCCGAGGCGUUUCGAGAAAUGCCAUCGUUGCGAUUAUCGAGACGCRCUGAGAGCGCACACGCUGGGACCCGAAAGAUGGUGAACUAUGCCUGGUCAGGUCGAAGUCAGGGGAAACCCUGAUGGAGGACCGAAGCGAUUCUGACGUGCAAAUCGAU